CUGGAGUUCACAGUAAGAUUAGUGGAAUUGAGAAAUUGGAACAUGUUUCCUAAAGAUAGAUCAGCAUCCAUAAAGCAGAGGGGGUUGUUAAAUAAAACACAUGAUCAAAGUUUCAACACCUGUCAUGAGGUUACUGCAGUUAAUACUCUAUUAAGAGUGAAAAGCUGCAGCUUUUCCCAUUAAAAAAAAAAAGAAGAAAGAUAAACCAGGCAAAUAGAGCACAGGUGUUGACCUGCCCUACCUCUGCUCAAAGCCUAGAAACAAGCCAAGGGACCUCAUCAGAGGGCACCUUCCAAAGUCAGGGAAAUGAAGAACGAGUUUCAGGAGAAACUCAGGAAAGACUUGUUCCUGGUCAUGUUCCCUGCAGACAUUACCAAGCUCCAGGAAAGAGGGAGAGAAAAUGCCAUCUGGGAAAGACAAGAAUACAGCCCAGAGGUUAGCUGGGAAGGAUGGAAGGACUUCAGGAAGUGACUCCUAGGAUUGGGCAUCUCUGUGCCAGCAGAGGGGAGCACCACAGAGUCAAAUGGGAGCCCCGCAAGGCGGAGAAGGGUCCUGAGUCAGUAUUCCUGCCCCUGCCUUGAUUCCGUUGUACUGUGCGGAAUGGACAGAACAGGACUGCCAAUGAGCUGAGGUGCUGAGGGGUGAGUUGACCCCACCAGAGAGGUCAAAGUUGACAUUCAGAGACGUCUGCCAGAUCAGAAAGAGUCAAAUAGGAGAGCUCAGAAGAGCAGGGAGCUGACAGACCACUGACCCACAAAAGCAGCAAGGGGACCACGUCGCGCCAACCUGUACACUACCCACUAGACAGGCUUCCUCACCUCAACUCUAUGAACAGGGGGGCCAGAUAAUUCCUUAUUGAGGGAGGCUGUCCUGUCAUCAUAGGCUAUGUAGCAGCAUGCCUGGCCUCUACCCACUGGAUGCCAGCAGCUCCCCCACUGUCGUCGUGAUCAUCCACUGUGUCUGCAGACAUAGUUAAAUGUCUCCUGGGAGACAAAAAUCAGUGCAGAUUAAGAACUGCUGCACCAAACCAACAGAGAAGGCGACGGCACCCCACUCCAGCACUCUUGCCUGGAAAAUCCCAUGGACGGAGGAGCCUGGUGGGCUGCAGUCCAUGGGAUCGCGAAGAGUAGGACACGACUGAGCGACUUCCCUUUCACUUUUCCCUUUCAUGCAUUGGAGAAGGAAAUGGCAACCCACUCCAGUGUUCUUGCCUGGAGAAUCCCAGGGAUGGAGGAGUCUGGCGGGCUCUGUCUAUGGGGUCACACAGAGUCAGACACGACUGAAGCAACUUAGCAGCAGCAGCAGCAGCAGCACCAAAC
Bos taurus (domestic cattle) is the source of this 1319-nucleotide long non-coding RNA. The record is from Ensembl. Lineage: Eukaryota; Metazoa; Chordata; Mammalia; Artiodactyla; Bovidae.